GUCGAAACUUAAUGUAUUUUGGAGAAUCUGACACGGCUGCAGCAUUAAAAGUAAAGAGUCAACGCAACUUAGUUUAAUCUGCUUUCAACCUUAACAGCUCCUUGGCAGUCCUCAUCCUAAAAUAUGGCAUGUCUCCCUGAUUAAAACAGAGUCCUAUAUCUCUGCUGUAGAAAUCCACAUUUUUUAUCAUAAACACACCGCAGUCGUACCCAUUCUUUUGCUCUGGAAGGUCCUCAACAAACUCUUCCAUCCACGAACUAACAUCAAUGUAUUUCCCACUCUUGUCCUUUACCUCAUCAACAAAGUAAGUAGCCAGCACUUUCAGCACAUUUCUAUCCUUUCCUC
Molecule: unclassified non-coding RNA, 345 nt
Filed under: Hevea brasiliensis (rubber tree)
Lineage: Eukaryota; Viridiplantae; Streptophyta; Magnoliopsida; Malpighiales; Euphorbiaceae
Source: RNAcentral